UCCUCGGUAGCUCAAUUGGUAGAGCGUCCGGCUGUUAACCGGCAGGUUGUUGGUUCGAGUCCAACCCGGGGAGCCA
RNAcentral lists this transfer RNA (76 nucleotides) under Planctomycetota bacterium. RNAcentral's name for it is "tRNA-Asn". It matches the Rfam family "tRNA". From Rfam's summary of the family: Transfer RNA (tRNA) molecules are approximately 80 nucleotides in length. Their secondary structure includes four short double-helical elements and three loops (D, anti-codon, and T loops). Lineage: Bacteria; Pseudomonadati; Planctomycetota. The record is from RNAcentral.